This 223-nucleotide long non-coding RNA is filed under the name Crocodylus porosus (Australian saltwater crocodile). Its description in RNAcentral is "lncRNA (ENSCPRG00005006108.1)". The record is from RNAcentral. Lineage: Eukaryota; Metazoa; Chordata; Crocodylia; Crocodylidae.
CUAUUUUUCAUGUACCCUAAGACAGGGGAAGAAAACUUCCAUGAUUUCUUUAAAAAACGUUAAUUUUCGGCAUUGAAAGAUUAAUGGAGCAAUUCCUGAAAAGAGAGUAGGAGUGGUGGACUGGAAGCAGAUGUCUGUGCUGUUGAAGGAAAGCCUCAUCUUUUCCAGUUGAAGGCCAGGAGCUAGUCAAGAAACUCAAACCACAUAAAAAUCACUUUAUUUC